Molecule: ribosomal RNA, 255 nt
Filed under: uncultured bacterium
Lineage: Bacteria
Description: partial 16S ribosomal RNA
Rfam family: Bacterial small subunit ribosomal RNA
Source: RNAcentral
UACGUAGGGUGCAAGCGUUGUCCGGAAUCAUUGGGCGUAAAGGGCGCGUAGGUGGCCUGCUAAGCGUGCGGUGAAAGUCGGGGGCUCAACCCCCGAUCGGCCGUGCGAACUGGGAGGCUUGAGCACUGUAGAGGCAGGCGGAAUUCCGGGUGUAGCGGUGGAAUGCGUAGAGAUCCGGAAGAACACCGGUGGCGAAGGCGGCCUGCUGGGCAGUUUUGCUGACACUGAGGCGCGACAGCGUGGGGAGCAAACAGG